UACGUAGGUGGCGAGCGUUGUCCGGAUUUAUUGGGUUUAAAGGGUGCGUAGGCGGCUUUGUAAGUCAGUGGUGAAAUACUCCAGCUUAACUGGAGGGGUGCCAUUGAUACUGCGGAGCUUGAGUACAGAUGAGGUAGGCGGAAUUGACGGUGUAGCGGUGAAAUGCAUAGAUAUCGUCAAGAACACCGAUAGCGAAGGCAGCUUACUGGGCUGUAACUGACGCUGAUGCACGAAAGUGUGGGGAUCAAACAGG
This 253-nucleotide ribosomal RNA is filed under the name uncultured bacterium. RNAcentral's name for it is "partial 16S ribosomal RNA". It matches the Rfam family "Bacterial small subunit ribosomal RNA", at positions 524 to 776 of the family's 1533-position model. The record is from RNAcentral.